Long non-coding RNA from Leguminivora glycinivorella, 476 nucleotides. RefSeq lists it as uncharacterized. NCBI's taxonomy places the organism in Eukaryota, Metazoa, Arthropoda, Insecta, Lepidoptera, Tortricidae. The record is from RefSeq and is a predicted model, not a curated record. The transcript is spliced from 3 exons.
GUGUCUUCUGAUUUUAUUCAAAUUGGACCUGGCAACACUGAAAUAAUGUCAGAAUCUUUUCUUUGACAUUAUUUACAAUUUAUAUUAUUGUACAUAAUUGGUUUUUUCACUAUUCUUAAGCUAAAAAAAACACCUGUUUGUCCUCCAAAGAAUACCUUAUUGGAUUCACAGAAUGAUUGAGGAUUUGAGGGAAGCAUGUUAAGACUGUGACAAUAUGGUCUUAAGGCAGCCGGCCUCAUUGAGAACAAGAAAAUAUUCUGCUUCAUGUAGCGGUUGUUAUUUGUUAAUAUGACAUGUCUCGGCAGUGUAGUGACCCUGUGCUUAAUUAAGGCUUCAGGCUCAAAUCAUGGUACACCAAAAUGUAAGCGGCCGGUUGAAAAAGUAGCAGAGUCGAAAAUGGAAAUUAAUGAGCUGCAGAAGUAAAUUUUAGAAGAAUAAUUCUCUUCUUUGUUGUAUCCUUGUGGCUGAGGGACAUG